This 4381-nucleotide long non-coding RNA is filed under the name Podarcis lilfordi (Lilford's wall lizard). The record is from RNAcentral. Lineage: Eukaryota; Metazoa; Chordata; Lepidosauria; Squamata; Lacertidae.
CUGACUUUGUGUCUACACGUGCUGGCUAUUUGUUUGAAUUCCUCUUUGGUGGUUUCCCCCUUUUCCAUUUUUGUACACAUCCUUUUUAAUCUUAACUCAGUUAAAAGUUCUUUAGAUAGCCACCCUGGCUUCUUUAGGCACCUUCCAUGUUUCUGUCUCAUUGGUAUUGCCUGACGUUGUGCUUUUAGUAUCUCCCUCUUAACAAACUCCCAGCCAUCAUGAACUCCCUUUCCUUUUAGUAUUACUGUCCAUGGGAUCUCACCCAGCGCUUCCCUAAGUUUUAUGAAGUCAGCUUUCUUAAAGUCAAGAAAUUGAGUCCUAGUAUGCUUGGCUGCUCCUUUCCGCUGUAUAGUAAACUUCAGAAGAGCAUGAUCACUCGCGCCUAAUGAUCCUUCCACUUCUACCCCACUAACCAGGUCAUCAACAUUGGUUAGGACCAGAUCUAAAAUGGCUGUUCCUCUUGUGACUCUCAAGGGGUGUUGAGAGCAGUGUGUAGUCCAGGGGUCAGCAAGUCUUACCGGCCAUGGGCUGGAUCACUCCCACAGAGAUCGUCCGUAGGCCAGACCGACGCAGCGUGACGCCGGAAGUCGCGUCUGCGCAUGUCCGCGGUGCCGGAAAUUGCUUCUGCGCAUGCCCAUACGCCAGUGCAGACAUGAUUUUUGGCCUCUGGACAUGCACAGAAGUGAUUUCCAGUAUCUGCAUAUGCGCAGAUGUGAUUUCCGGCGCCGCUCGGCGAGUUCCUGUGGCACGCUGAGCCGGUUUAGUACAGCACACGGGGGACUCGCUGUGCGGGCAGCUCGGUUUGCAGGCAACUCAUGGUCCGGUAAAACAAUCUUCUUGGGCCAUAUCCGGCCCAUGGGCCGUACAUUGCCGACCCCUGGUGUAGUCCCUGACCCUCCCAAGUGUCCCCAUUUUACAGGGACAGUCCCAGAUUUACAGAAACUGUCCCAGUUUCUGAUUGGAUCCCAGAAUGUCCCGCUUUCCCUAGGACGUCCCUAUUUUCAUUGGAUAAACGUCAGAGGGUAUGGAUACAGGUAGGUAGCGUGUUGGUCUGCUGUAGUCAAAACAAAAUAAAAAAAUUCCUUCCAGUAGCACCUUAGAGACCAACUAAGUUUGUUAUUGGUAUGAGCUUUCGUGUAAAUGCACACUUCUUCAGAUACACUGAAACAGAAGUCACCAGACCCUUAUAUAGAGGGUAUGGAGUUAUUCAACCCCCAAGCCAAGGAGAUAAGUAACUAUACAAUCUUUAGAAGACGUCUGAAGGCAGCUCUGUAUAGGGAAGUUUUUUUAAAUGUUUAAUGUUUUAUUAUGUUUUUAUAUAUGUUGGAAGCUGCCCAGAGUGGCUGGGGCAACCCAGUCAGAUGAGCAAGGUAUAAAUUAUUAUAAAUAUUAUCCCCAGGCAACAUGGCCAAUGUUCAGGGAUGCUGGGAGUUAGACUCCAAAGCAAAUGGAGGGUACAUGUUUGGGGAAAGGCUUAUAUCAAGUAGGCAGUAUGGAGAAUUUACUUAUAGCAGUGAUAUCUGUGACGCAGGCAAAUGUAUUUCCCGCCUGUGUCACUUUUGCAUGUUUUUACCCACAAUUCCGUCCCUUUUCUAUGUCACCCUGCAAAUUUUUGAAAAGCAUUUCUCUAAUUUAAAUAGCUUUUGUCAAGGGCAGAUAUUUAAACAUCCCCAGAAAGAAUAGACAUUGUGGAUGUUCUUUGAAUGUGCUGGACACUGUAGAACAUAUUCUUUUCUACUGUUCAUUGUAGAACCAGCUACGCAAACGCAUACUAUCCCCUUUUUUGGGUAGUCUAACACUGCGGGAAAAUGAAAAUAACCAGAUUCUAUCUGAUGUAACUGGGUGGCUGGGUUUUUGUCAAUAGUAUCCCUUAGAGAGCCAAUGGCACUAUUUAGCGGGAAGAAAUCCCAAUGAAAAUCCUCGUCAUUAUAUAUUUUACAUGGCUGUUUAUUGUAUAUAUUUUACAAUGUUAUAUAUGGAUGUUUUAUGAUGUUUUAUGAUGGCCUCUAGUUGUAAUGCCUAAAAAAGGUUUGGCGAAGUAUUUCCAACCUGUGUCACUUUUGCAUUUUUAUUGCAUGUAUAUAUUGUGGUUUUAUAUUUUGAUUUUGUUCUGUGAACCGCCCUGAGACCUCUGGGUGUAGGGCAGUAUAUAAAUUCAAUAAAUAAAUAAAUAUAUUUUACCCCCAGUCCUGUCCCUUUUCUAUGUCGCUCUGUAAAUUUUUAAAAAAGCAUUCCUCUCACAAUACAAAUUUAAAUAGGCAUUUAAAAAUAUAUUUAUUUUUCCCCACUUUUAAAUUACUGAAAACUGUAUCUAAAUCAAUGGCCUAACUUUAACAUAAAAAAAAAACCAGUUGUAAUGUAUGGGUGUCAUAAGAAGGUGACACAGCCUUGACACUUACCAAUGACUGAAGCAGAAAGAAGGUUUCCCCUAUGCUCACCAAAGUAUUUGAGUCUGGAGAGAGAAGAUUUAUUUAUUUCCUAAAAUCUAUAUACUGCUUGAUUGUUUUACAGCAUUAUUUUACCCCAACAGACGAUUCUGAUCUUCCCCCUCUUACUUUUUCUUUCUGUCACAAGUCUGCCCUUAACGUUAAUUUCCCCUCAGGAUCAAAAGUGUCACGUCCCCCACCUUCUCGUUGUUUCCUUAUUCGUAAUCAAACGGGAGACCCGCACAUUCAAAUGCUGAUAAUAAAUAGGCGAUAAAUUAUUAACAGUAGCAAGCUUGAGGGAAACGAGAUGAAAGCUGACAGAUGUUUCUCUGAAAAGCAGCAAAUGUAACUGACCAGGCCUGCGAGAGAAUUGUAGAAUACUAUCUUGUGUGAAGAACGUGCCUCACAGAAGCAGGAUGGAAUAUACACAUAUAUUUUAAUGGACAGAUAAAUUUAAAUUAUGUUUGUUACUGUGAGGCCAUUUGGAGGAUCAGAUCUCAGGUCUUUACUGUGAAUGCCCUACCCUCCAACAUUUCUCUGAUGGGGACAUUUUGGGAUCAAAUUUGGGUGGCUUCUGUAAAUCUGGGACCGUCCCUGGAAAAUAGGGACACUUGGAGGGUCUGAAAUGGCGGAAGGAGCAGUUUCCACAAAACCAUUGGCCUUUCCAUUCGUUCUGAAGCCUGAGCCAAGGUGGAGGGAGAGAGCUUAGUUUUGAAACACAAGCUCAGGCUAUGACACAAAAAUAAAUCUCUGCAUAAUGACAGCGUCUAAUGGAAGAGGUUCCCAACACUGUUAAUGAGAGCUCAGAGAUAGGAGCGAAGCUAUAAAUAUUUUAAAAUAAUUAAAAUAGAUUGCCAUUGCUGGGCCCCGAGGAAGCGUGGGGCUGCUGAACUGUCAGCUGUGGUGCUGAGGGAAAUUGUUUUCUGAAGAAAUGAAUAAAUGGAAGCACUUAAGUAAUAAGAUUUUGUAUUUGCCAAUCCUCCCACCAAGAGAGCAAGUGGGGGGAAACAAAAUCUUUGAAAUGAUGAAAGGAACAUAGGCCAUGCAGCUAGCAUCAACACUAAGCUCUCUCUGUGGCUGUGCAGAGCCAUAACAUUUUUUUUUAUCUAAUAACAAGAACACCCAGGGCUUGUUUUCAGCUGGAACUCUCCGGAACUCAGCUCUGGCACCUCUCAGGGGGGCAUCAUUGCCAUUACAAGAAGGGUUCAUGGUGAAUCCCUGCACCACUUUUCCUAGUAAAAUAGCACUAAGAGCACCUUAUUUUACUAUGCCAGUGUCUUGGCCCUAGAUAAAGGGCUCUAACUCCCAGGCUGGUUUCUGCCAAAGUCUUUAAUGCAUAAUUCAAAGGGAUACAAAGGCAAUACGCAGGUUACAAGGUGGAACAGAUACAUAAGAGGUAUAGACACAUGGCUAAGUGUAACAUGGCUAGUCCACAACACUGUCCUCUGUGGCCAAUCAGAUGCCCAUGGGAAUCUCACAAUAAGAUCUGGAGCCCAACCGCACUCUCCUCACCUGUGAUACCAGGAACAGGUAUUCAGAGACGUGCUUUCUCCAAAGUUGUAAGUAGGGGUCAUUCCACGCCAAAUCACCUGGUGCCAUGUGCUCUCACAACUCAGAUUUUCUUCAAAAUAAUAAUAAUUAUGUCUAGAUACCUAUGAGAUUUUUUUUUUAGAUUUUUGGGUCCGAAAUUGGGCGCAGGAGAAAUUUUUCAAAAUUUCAAUUUUCACACCAUUUAGGCUAAUGCAAUUUCUGCACCAGUUUAGGGGGAAAAACACAGCUCCUGAUUCACUUAUUUUUCAACCAAUUGGGCUUAAUUUGGUAUCAAAAUAAAGAGACAAAAAAAAACCUUUUCAAAUUAAUUUGAGGUUAGCUCAUAGGUAGGUAAAGGUAAAGAGACCCCUGACAGUUAAGUCCAGUCGCAAACAACUCUGGGGUUGCAGCGCUCAUCUCACUUU